CGAAUCACUACAGUUCCCUUGGAGACAAAGUUCUUGGUGUAGUUGGACAAGCACUCCACCAAACUGUUGGAGGUCAUCAGAAGCAAGGGAGGAGUUGUUAAAGAGAAGACCACCAGGACCUUGCAGGUUUUAGAUGAGCCUGUGGACAUCAGCAUCAGAAGAGAAUGCAUCUUCAAAUCUCUGAUGAUCUACCUUGGUGAACCUGUUGAGCACCUUUUCAAAGAAUACUAGGAUAAUGAGGUUGAAGAACUGGAGCAGACAACCAUGGCGAUCUUUAUCACUGGGAAAGAGGAUCCUCUCCAUCCACCUAAAGACAUUAAAAUUGUUGUCAAAGGAAAAGAAGUCCUGAACGAGUUGCCAUCGGUUGCAACCGCUUUUGCCAUGGUUUUUGGGCUCAUAUAUACACUAAACCUAAAAUAUCCAAAAAGGCUACAGUUCACCUUUGAAUUUGUGCAAAAGGUCCUGAUGGAGCUUGAUGGAAAAAAGAUGACCCCGAAAGUCACUAGACUGACCACCCAGCUGUACAGGGAUUAAUUGUACAAUUGCAUAAUUGUUCAAUUUUAUUGUGUUUUUACAGCCAAGACUUUAGAUCCUUUUAAUAAAAAGGUUGCACUAACAAGGCUGCAUUUUCACUGCAGCAUUUACAAAUGUGGCUGCCCAAGUUCGAUGGCUACCAGGUACAAAGGUCGAUGUAGGCAAAGUGUU
Molecule: long non-coding RNA, 705 nt
Organism: Carassius carassius (crucian carp)
Lineage: Eukaryota; Metazoa; Chordata; Actinopteri; Cypriniformes; Cyprinidae
Exons: 3
Source: RefSeq, a predicted model, not a curated record